Molecule: long non-coding RNA, 482 nt
Filed under: Elaeis guineensis (African oil palm)
Lineage: Eukaryota; Viridiplantae; Streptophyta; Magnoliopsida; Arecales; Arecaceae
Description: long non-coding RNA (EGUI_LNC023182)
Source: RNAcentral
AAAGAACUGAGAGAAGACUUUGGGAGUCUUCUUCCCCGAUAGACUCCUAACCAGAGUUGGAGAUCGAUGCCGAGGGAGAGUCUAACUCUUUUCUCCCGGCUCUAUUUAAAGGGAAGAGGUCUUCCCAUCCUUCCAACCGGAGAUCAAAGCCCUAAACAGAAGAAAAAUCGCCGGAGUUUGUCGAGUCUUUGUCGAGGUUUCCAUCGGCUAUCGUAGCCGCAAUACCACCACAAAAGAGGUAGGAUCAUCUAAUUUUUGAGUUAAUAUAGUUUGUUAUCCUCCUUAGUCCUUGAAACCUUGAUUUCGAUCGACGAUCGCCGGAUUUUUCAUCAAAAAAAUCGAGCCUCCAAUUUUUCCUAUGUUUUCAUUAAUUAUUAUGGAUUUUACCAGUGCAGUUCAUUGUUGCCGACCGUUGGAUUGGAACCCUGGGUUGUGCCGUGUGACCCUAGCCACCACCUGCCAUGGCUGUUGCCAACAAGGAC